AUAUAUAUAAAAUUAACUGUUAUUUAAUCAAAUGGUACAUGCUUUGAAGAUGUAUUUUUGAAUGCCUUAGUAACUUUAAGAAUGAAAAACUGUAGCAAGUUUACUCCAUUCAUAUCAUUGUCUUCAAUUAAUUACUUAGACAUUCUCUAAGUUGUGAAUUCUUCCUUAUUUAUUGAUUCUUUAAUUUAUAGAUUGAAUCAUAUAUUUCCUACUGUGGUGGGCUUCCAGCCCCUGAACAUUCAAACAA
This 247-nucleotide long non-coding RNA is filed under the name Homo sapiens (human). RNAcentral's name for it is "non-protein coding lnc-FEZF1-1:1". Lineage: Eukaryota; Metazoa; Chordata; Mammalia; Primates; Hominidae. The record is from RNAcentral.